AGUAUGAUUGCUGGAGCAUAUGGUAAAAGUAUGUAUAGUUUUAUAAGAAACUGCCCAACUGCCUUCCAAUAUGGCUGUACCAUUUUGCAUGCCCACCAGCAAU
This 103-nucleotide microRNA precursor is filed under the name Marmota monax (woodchuck). Lineage: Eukaryota; Metazoa; Chordata; Mammalia; Rodentia; Sciuridae. The record is from RNAcentral.